GCAAUGUGUGGCAUACGGCUCAGUAACACGUAGUCAACAUGCCCAGGGGACGUGGAUAACCUCGGGAAACUGAGGAUAAACCGCGAUAGGUCACUACUUCUGGAAUGGGUAAUGACCCAAACCUAUAUGGCCCCUGGAUUGGACUGCGGCCGAUCAGGCUGUUGGUGAGGUAAUGGCCCACCAAACCUGUAACCGGUACGGGCUCUGAGAGGAGGAGCCCGGAGAUGGGCACUGAGACAAGGGCCCAGGCCCUAUGGGGCGCAGCAGGCGCGAAACCUCUGCAAUAGGCGAAAGCUUGACAGGGUUACUCUGAGUGAUUUCCGUUAAGGAGAUCUUUUGGCACCUCUAAAAAUGGUGCAGAAUAAGGGGUGGGCAAGUCUGGUGUCAGCCGCCGCGGUAAUACCAGCACCCCGAGUGGUCGGGACGUUUAUUGGGCCUAAAGCAUCCGUAGCCGGUUCUACAAGUCUUCCGUUAAAUCCACCUGCUCAACAGAUGGGCUGCGGAAGAUACUAUGGAGCUAGGAGGCGGGAGAGGCAAGCGGUACUCGAUGGGUAGGGGUAAAAUCCGUUGAUCCAUUGAAGACCACCAGUGGCGAAGGCGGCUUGCCAGAACGCGCUCGACGGUGAGGGAUGAAAGCUGGGGGAGCAAACCGGAUUAGAUACCCGGGUAGUCCCAGCUGUAAAC
Molecule: ribosomal RNA, 684 nt
Filed under: uncultured Nitrososphaerota archaeon
Lineage: Archaea; Thermoproteati; Nitrososphaerota
Description: bacterial SSU rRNA
Rfam family: Archaeal small subunit ribosomal RNA
Source: RNAcentral